This 1231-nucleotide ribosomal RNA is filed under the name metagenome. RNAcentral's name for it is "SSU rRNA". It matches the Rfam family "Eukaryotic small subunit ribosomal RNA", at positions 506 to 1761 of the family's 1831-position model. The record is from RNAcentral.
UUAUCGGAAUGAGAACAAUUCAAAUCCUUUAACGAGGAUCUAGCGGAGGGCAAGUCUGGUGCCAGCAGCCGCGGUAAUUCCAGCUCCGCAGGUGUAUAUCUAUGCUGCUGCGGUUAAAAAGCUCGUAGUUGGAUCUGCGUGCUCGGAACUGGUUGGCUCACUGAGUUCAAACUGGUCUCCGGCGCUUUAUUGGCUGGUUUUCCCUUGAUGCUCUUAACCGGGUGUCUUGGGUGGCUAGCACGUUUACUUUGAAAAAAUUAGAGUGCUCAAUUCAGGCGUAAAGCCUUGAAUAGUGGUGCAUGGAAUAAUAGAAUAGGACCUCGGCUCUAUUUUGUUGGUUUUCGGAACGCGAGGUAAUAAUUAAGAGGGACAGACGGGGGCAUUCGUAUUGCGACGUUAGAGGUGAAAUUCUUGGAUCGUCGCAAGACGGACGACUGCGAAAGCAUUUGCCAAGAAUGUUUUCAUUAAUCAAGAACGAAAGUUAGAGGUUCGAAGGCGAUCAGAUACCGCCCUAGUUCUAACCGUAAACGAUGCCAACUAGCGAUUCGCAGGCGUUAAACAACGACCUUGCGGGCAGCUUCCCGGAAACGAAAGUGUUCGGGUUCCGGGGGAAGUAUGGUUGCAAAGCUGAAACUUAAAGGAAUUGACGGAAGGGCACCACCAGGAGUGGAGCCUGCGGCUUAAUUUGACCCAACACGGGAAAACUCACCCGGCCCGGACACCGUAAGGAUUGACAGAUUGAGAGCUCUUUCUUGAUUCGGUGGGUGGUGGUGCAUGGCCGUUCUUAGUUGGUGGAGCGAUUUGUCUGGUUUAUUCCGAUAACGAACGAGACUCUGGCCUACUAAAUAGUGGGCGGAUUCUUUCUGUCCGCGACACUUCUUAGAGGGACAAGCGGUGUUCAGCCGCACGAGAUUGAGCAAUAACAGGUCUGUGAUGCCCUUAGAUGUCCGGGGCUGCACGCGCGCUACACUGAAGGAAUCAGCGUGCUUUCUGACCUUGCCCGAAAGGGCUGGGUAACCCGAUGAAAAUCCUUCGUGAUUGGGAUAGGGACUUGCAAUUAUUUCCCUUGAACGAGGAAUUCCCAGUAAGUGUGGGUCAUAAGCUCGCGUUGAUUACGUCCCUGCCCUUUGUACACACCGCCCGUCGCUGCCCGGAACUGAGCCGUUUCGAGAAGAACAGGGACCGUCGUUGAAGGGCCUUAACGGGCUUUUCUCUGAUAGAAACUGUUUAA